UACAGAGGUCCCAAGCGUUGUUCGGAUUCACUGGGCGUAAAGGGUGCGUAGGUGGUGAGGUAAGUCGGAUGUGAAAGCUCGGAGCUCAACUCCGAAAUGGCAUUGGAAACUACCUUGCUCGAGGAAUGGAGGGGGGACUGGAAUUCUCGGUGUAGCAGUGAAAUGCGUAGAUAUCAGGAGGAACACCCGUAGCGAAGGCGGCACUCUGGGCCGAUUCUGACACUGAGGAGCGAAAGCGUGGGGAGCGAACAGG
Molecule: ribosomal RNA, 253 nt
Filed under: uncultured bacterium
Lineage: Bacteria
Description: partial 16S ribosomal RNA
Rfam family: Bacterial small subunit ribosomal RNA
Source: RNAcentral